RNAcentral lists this ribosomal RNA (253 nucleotides) under uncultured bacterium. RNAcentral describes it as "partial 16S ribosomal RNA". It matches the Rfam family "Bacterial small subunit ribosomal RNA", at positions 524 to 776 of the family's 1533-position model. The record is from RNAcentral.
UACGUAGGGGGCAAGCGUUGUCCGGAUUUACUGGGCGUAAAGAGCGUGUAGGCGGCAAAGCAGGUCUGUUGUGAAAACUGGAGGCUCAACCUCCAGACGUCGACAGAAACCGCUUGGCUAGAGUCCGGAAGAGGAGAGUGGAAUUCCUGGGGUAGCGGUGAAAUGCGCAGAUAUCAGGAAGAACACCAAUGGCGAAGGCAGCUCUCUGGGACAGUACUGACGCUGAGACGCGAAAGCGUGGGGAGCAAACAGG